GAGGUAACGGCUCACCAAGGCCACGAUGCAUAGCCGACCUGAGAGGGUGAUCGGCCACAUUGGGACUGAGACACGGCCCAAACUCCUACGGGAGGCAGCAGUAGGGAAUCUUCGGCAAUGGACGAAAGUCUGACCGAGCAACGCCGCGUGAGUGAAGAAGGUUUUCGGAUCGUAAAACUCUGUUGUUAGAGAAGAACAAGGAUGAGAGUAACUGUUCAUCCCUUGACGGUAUCUAACCAGAAAGCCACGGCUAACUACGUGCCAGCAGCCGCGGUAAUACGUAGGUGGCAAGCGUUGUCCGGAUUUAUUGGGCGUAAAGCGAGCGCAGGCGGUUUCUUAAGUCUGAUGUGAAAGCCCCCGGCUCAACCGGGGAGGGUCAUUGGAAACUGGGAGACUUGAGUGCAGAAGAGGAGAGUGGAAUUCCAUGUGUAGCGGUGAAAUGCGUAGAUAUAUGGAGGAACACCAGUGGCGAAGGCGGCUCUCUGGUCUGUAACUGACGCUGAGGCUCGAAAGCGUGGGGAGCAAACAGGAUUAGAUACCCUGGUAGUCCACGCCGUAAACGAUGAGUGCUAAGUGUUGGAGGGUUUCCGCCCUUCAGUGCUGCAGCUAACGCAUUAAGCACUCCGCCUGGGGAGUACGACCGCAAGGUUGAAACUCAAAGGAAUUGACGGGGGCCCGCACAAGCGGUGGAGCAUGUGGUUUAAUUCGAAGCAACGCGAAGAACCUUACCAGGUCUUGACAUCCUUUGACCACUCUAGAGAUAGAGCUUCCCCUUCGGGGGCAAAGUGACAGGUGGUGCAUGGUUGUCGUCAGCUCGUGUCGUGAGAUGUUGGGUUAAGUCCCGCAACGAGCGCAACCCUUAUUGUUAGUUGCCAUCAUUCAGUUGGGCACUCUAGCAAGACUGCCGGUGACAAACCGGAGGAAGGUGGGGAUGACGUCAAAUCAUCAUGCCCCUUAUGACCUGGGCUACACACGUGCUACAAUGGGAAGUACAACGAGUUGCGAAGUCGCGAGGCUAAGCUAAUCUCUUAAAGCUUCUCUCAGUUCGGAUUGCAGGCUGCAACUCGCCUGCAUGAAGCCGGAAUCGCUAGUAAUCGCGGAUCAGCACGCCGCGGUGAAUACGUUCCCGGGC
RNAcentral lists this ribosomal RNA (1132 nucleotides) under Enterococcus faecium. Its description in RNAcentral is "bacterial SSU rRNA". It matches the Rfam family "Bacterial small subunit ribosomal RNA", at positions 254 to 1379 of the family's 1533-position model. The record is from RNAcentral. Lineage: Bacteria; Bacillati; Bacillota; Bacilli; Lactobacillales; Enterococcaceae.